Molecule: ribosomal RNA, 200 nt
Filed under: uncultured bacterium
Lineage: Bacteria
Description: partial 16S ribosomal RNA
Rfam family: Bacterial small subunit ribosomal RNA
Source: RNAcentral
AGAGUUUGAUCAUGGCUCAGAACGAACGCUGGCGGCAGGCCUAAUACAUGCAAGUCGAACGCCCCGCAAGGGGAGUGGCAGACGGGUGAGUAACACGUGGGAACAUACCCUUUGGUUCGGAAUAACUCAGGGAAACUUGAGCUAAUACCGGAUAAGUCCGCGAGGAGAAAGAUUCAUCGCCGAAGGAUUGGCCCGCGUCU